Molecule: transfer RNA, 76 nt
Filed under: Treponema sp.
Lineage: Bacteria; Pseudomonadati; Spirochaetota; Spirochaetia; Treponematales; Treponemataceae
Also listed under: 1 other name
Description: tRNA-Arg
Rfam family: tRNA
About the family: Transfer RNA (tRNA) molecules are approximately 80 nucleotides in length. Their secondary structure includes four short double-helical elements and three loops (D, anti-codon, and T loops). Further hydrogen bonds mediate the characteristic L-shaped molecular structure. tRNAs have two regions of fundamental functional importance: the anti-codon, which is responsible for specific mRNA codon recognition, and the 3' end, to which the tRNAs corresponding amino acid is attached (by aminoacyl-tRNA synthetases). tRNAs cope with the degeneracy of the genetic code in two manners: having more than one tRNA (with a specific anti-codon) for a particular amino acid; and 'wobble' base-pairing, i.e. permitting non-standard base-pairing at the 3rd anti-codon position.
Source: RNAcentral
UGCGCCCGUAGCUCAUCUGGAUAGAGCUCCGGACUUCGAAUCCGGCGGUAGCAGGUUCGAAUCCUGUCGGACGCAA